Molecule: ribosomal RNA, 255 nt
Filed under: uncultured bacterium
Lineage: Bacteria
Description: partial 16S ribosomal RNA
Rfam family: Bacterial small subunit ribosomal RNA
Source: RNAcentral
UACGGAGGGUGCAAGCGUUAUCCGGAUUCACUGGGUUUAAAGGGUGCGUAGGUGGGUUGGUAAGUCCGCGGUGAAAUCUCCGAGCUUAACUCGGAAACUGCCGUGGAUACUAUCAAUCUUGAAUACUGUGGAGGUAAGCGGAAUAUGUCAUGUAGCGGUGAAAUGCUUAGAUAUGACAUAGAACACCGAUAGCGGAGGCAGCUUGCUACACAGUCAUUGACACUGAGGCACGAAAAGCGUGGGGGAUCAAACAGG